This 273-nucleotide ribosomal RNA is filed under the name uncultured bacterium. RNAcentral's name for it is "partial 16S ribosomal RNA". It matches the Rfam family "Bacterial small subunit ribosomal RNA", at positions 524 to 796 of the family's 1533-position model. The record is from RNAcentral.
GACGUAGGGCGCGAGCGUUGUCCGGAUUUAUUGGGCGUAAAGAGCUCGUAGGCGGCUUGUCGCGUCGGCUGUGAAAUCCCGUGGCUCAACUGCGGGUCUGCAGCCGAUACGGGCAGGCUAGAGUUCGGUAGGGGAGACUGGAAUUCCUGGUGUAGCGGUGAAAUGCGCAGAUAUCAGGAGGAACACCGGUGGCGAAGGCGGGUCUCUGGGCCGAUACUGACGCUGAGGAGCGAAAGCGUGGGGAGCGAACAGGAUUAGAAACCCCCGUAGUCC